AGGAUUUUAUUUUCUACACCUUCCAUGUCCUAUGCAGUAGAAAAAGGCCCAACAUAAAGCCAAAGAAAGAGUCAAGGACCCCAACAUAGACAAGUUAAAUUUCAAAACCCCUCAACAAACUGACUUUCUCGUCCUCAGACAAAAUCAUGCCUACAACAUGACGUGACAAAUAUGAGAGGAGAGGACAGACCUGGAGAGGAAAAGACUACCUGCCUAUGUGACAGACCCCUUCCAAUUAGGCUAUACUUUCCAUCAAGAAUUACUCUGGUAACCUCAAAAAAGAGGCAGUUAUUCUGUUUUUUUUUUUUUCUUUCUGAGACAUAGUCUUGCUCUGUCGCUCAGGCUGGAGUACAGUGGUG
RNAcentral lists this long non-coding RNA (359 nucleotides) under Homo sapiens (human). Its description in RNAcentral is "non-protein coding lnc-UBA5-3:1". The record is from RNAcentral. Lineage: Eukaryota; Metazoa; Chordata; Mammalia; Primates; Hominidae.